This 253-nucleotide ribosomal RNA is filed under the name uncultured bacterium. Its description in RNAcentral is "partial 16S ribosomal RNA". It matches the Rfam family "Bacterial small subunit ribosomal RNA", at positions 524 to 776 of the family's 1533-position model. The record is from RNAcentral.
UACGAAGGGGGCUAGCGUUGUUCGGAAUUACUGGGCGUAAAGCGCGCGCAGGCGGUCCUUUAAGUCAGGGGUGAAAGCCCAGAGCUCAACUCUGGAACUGCCUUUGAAACUAGAGGACUUGGGUACGGGAGAGGUGAGUGGAACUGCGAGUGUAGAGGUGAAAUUCGUAGAUAUUCGCAAGAACACCAGUGGCGAAGGCGGCUCACUGGCCCGGUACUGACGCUGAGGUGCGAAAGCGUGGGGAGCAAACAGG